AAUCGAUUCACUGAUUGUCCAUUCGCAUUUCUUGUUAGAAACAUUUUCAAUUAUUAUCAUUAUUCAAUGAUAAUGAUGAUAAUAUUUAAUUCACAAGAGGUGUUAAUGGACAUCAUAUGAUCGAUU
Schistosoma japonicum is the source of this 126-nucleotide non-coding RNA. Lineage: Eukaryota; Metazoa; Platyhelminthes; Trematoda; Strigeidida; Schistosomatidae. The record is from Rfam.